ACCUGCUGAGAAAAGAAAGACCCAGGCGAUGGCAAAGACCUCCUUCUGCUUCAUCUGCCCAACUUUUUGGUAUUGUUUGAAUGAAGACUUCUCAGGCAGCUGUCAUUUGUUUUGCAGCCACGUAAUUCUUAAAAUGUGCUAGAAAUAUUCAAUGAAAACCAGCAGUGAAACAAACAAACAAGACUACAGAACACACUCGAAAAAGUGACUUAUUAUUUUUAACUGCUUUUACAAAAGGACUGAGCUUUUAAUAAUAGUCUGCUCUUGUAAAGCAUCUCUCAGAUGCGGACUUCAAAAUGUGGUAGACAAAUUGUCUCAACAUGUCUGUGGGCUAGGUUGUCUUUCACUGGAUCGCUUCUUUCACCCUGUGGACUGUGAGGCUGCAGGGAUGCUUGGGGCAACACUAGCAAAAGAAAACAGCUCUGGAAAGGCAAUAUCAAACCCAUCCUUUAUGAAGUUAAACUCCUGGCAACAAAAUCAGAGGGGAUAGCAGUCGAAUGGGAAGCACCAACUGGAGGAUCCUGGAGCAGACUUCACUCUUGGUUUUCACUUUCUGACUCUGAAGAGCAAAUGGAACUGUGACCGGUAAAACAAAGCUCCUAGAAAGAAGUCCAGGCUCCAGAAGGCUGAUACCACCCAGGCACCAGCUGUGAGGAGGCAAUAACCUCUGCUUUUGAAAAGAAACAGGCAGUGCCAAGUUGCUAUUGCUGCACUUGAGGGUUAUGUGUCUGCUGAAUUCAGCUGGUUUUAAGGGCCGUGCACAUCCAGGGUCUAGGAUACUCAUGCUAGUCCCUAGUAUGAGUAUCCUCCUUCUGACCACCAUCACAGUGUGCAGCAUGAACCAAAAGGAGUGUUAUUUUGGUAGGAGUGAAUCCUUUGUCAAGUAACACCAAGGAGGAGCCAAAACUCAUUUGGACACUGGGUAUGUCUUCCCUGGAGGCAAGAACUCACAGCAUUUCAAGAGAAUC
This is a long non-coding RNA of Pezoporus flaviventris, 968 nucleotides long. RefSeq lists it as uncharacterized. The transcript has 3 exons. Lineage: Eukaryota; Metazoa; Chordata; Aves; Psittaciformes; Psittacidae. The record is from RefSeq and is a predicted model, not a curated record.